GUUGACCUCGGAUCAGGUAGGAAUACCCGCUGAACUUAAGCAUAUCAAUAAGCGGAGGAAAAGAAACCAACAGGGAUUGCCUCAGUAACGGCGAGUGAAGCGGCAACAGCUCAAAUUUGAAAUCUGGCCCUAGGCCCGAGUUGUAAUUUGCAGAGGAUGCUUUUGGCAAGGUGCCUUCCGAGUUCCCUGGAACGGGACGCCAUAGAGGGUGAGAGCCCCGUCUGGUCGGACACCGAGCCUCUGUAAAGCUCCUUCGACGAGUCGAGUAGUUUGGGAAUGCUGCUCAAAAUGGGAGGUAUAUGUCUUCUAAAGCUAAAUACCGGCCAGAGACCGAUAGCGCACAAGUAGAGUGAUCGAAAGAUGAAAAGCACUUUGAAAAGAGAGUUAAAUAGCACGUGAAAUUGUUGAAAGGGAAGCGUUUAUGACCAGACUUGGCCCGGUUGAUCAUCCAGCGUUCUCGCUGGUGCACUCUGCCGGUCCAGGCCAGCAUCAGUUCGUCGCGGGGGAUAAAGGUUUCGGGAAUGUGGCUCCUCCGGGAGUGUUAUAGCCCGUUGCGUAAUACCCUGCGGUGGACUGAGGUCCGCGCUUCUGCAAGGAUGCUGGCGUAAUGGUCAUCAACGAC
Molecule: ribosomal RNA, 622 nt
Filed under: Xepicula leucotricha
Lineage: Eukaryota; Fungi; Ascomycota; Sordariomycetes; Hypocreales; Stachybotryaceae
Description: eukaryotic LSU rRNA
Rfam family: Eukaryotic large subunit ribosomal RNA
Source: RNAcentral